UGGGAGAGACUGGGAUGGACUGGGAUGGACUGGGAUAAACUGGGAUUGGAUUGGGAUUGAACUGGGAUAGACUGGGAAGGGAACUGGGAUUGAACUGGGAGCCAAGAGCGGGGCCCGGUUCCAGUUCCGGGAGAGCUGCGAGAAGGAGACAAAGGUGGGAACUGGGAUGGACUGGGAUGGACUGGGAUGGACUGGGAUGGGAACUGGGAUGGACUGGGAUGGACUGGGAUAAACUGGGAUAAACUGGGAUUGAACUGGGAUGGACUGGGAUGAACUGGGAUUGAACUGGGCGUGGUCUCCGCUGGCUCGGCCUUCCUGUCCCCAGUGUCCGCCUGUGUCCCGGUGUCACCUGUGCCCAUGUCACACCUGUCCAGGUGUUCACGGUGUCCCCUCACCUGUCCAGGUGUUCAUUCUGUGUCUCACCUGUCCAGGUGUUCAUUCUCUGUCUCAGCUGUCCAGGUGUUCACAGUCCCUCACCUGUCCGGGUGUUCACAGUCCCUCACCUGUCCAGGUGUUCAUUCUCUGUCUCACCUGUCCAGGUGUUCACCUUCCAGCUGUUCCAGGUGUUCACGGUCUCUCUCACCUGUCCAGGUGUUCACCUUCGAGCUCUCCAUCUCCAAGGUGGUCCCCGGUGACCGGGGCGAUUAUCGCUGUGAGGUCACGGCCAAGGACAAGAAGGACAGCUGCUCCUUCAACAUUGAUGUCGAGGGUACGCCCCAAAAACCCCCAAAUCACCCCAAAAUCCACCUGGGGACCCCAAAAUCCACCUGGGAACCCCAAAAUCCACCUGGGGACCCCAAAAUCCACCCCAAAACUCAGCUGGGAACCCCAAAACUCACCUGGGGACAGGGGUGAGGUCACGGCCAAGGACAAGAAGGACAGCUGCUCCUUCAAUUUCCAUGUCGAGGGUGCACCCCAAAAACCUCCAAAAUCACCCCAAAAUACACCUGGAAACCCCAAAACUCACCUGGGAACCCCAAAAUCCACCUGGGAACGCCAAAAUCCACCCCAAAACUCAGCUGGGGACCCCAAAACUCACCUGGGGACAGGGGUGAGGUCACGGCCAAGGACAGCUGCUCCUUCAACAUCGACGUCGAGGGUGCGCCCCAAAAACCCCCAAAUCACCCCAAAAUCACCCCAAAAUCACCCCAAAACUCACCUGGGAACCCCAAAAUCCACCUGGGGACCCCAAAAUCCACCCCAAAACUCACCUGGGGACCCCAAAACUCACCUGGGGACAGGGGUGAGGUCACGGCCAAGGACAAGAAGGACAGCUGAUCCUUCAAUUUCAACGUCGAGGGUGCACCCCAAAAACCCCCAAAAUCACCCCAAAAUCACCCCAAAAUCACCCCAAAAUCACCCCAAAACUCACCUGGGAACCCCAAAAUCAACCUGGGGACCCCAAAAUCCACCCAAAAACUCACCUGGGGACCCCAAAACUCACCUGGGGACAGGGGUGAGGUCACGGCCAAGGACAAGAAGGACAGCUGCUCCUUCAACAUUGAUGUCGAGGGUACGCCCCAAAAACCCCCAAAUCACCCCAAAAUCCACCUGGGGACCCCAAAAUCCACCUUGGGGACCCCAAAAUCCACCUGGGGACCCCAAGAUCUACCCCAAAACUCACCUGGGAACCCCAAAACUCACCUGGGGACAGGGGUGAGGUCACAGCCAAGGACAGCUGCUCCUUCAACAUUGAUGUCGAGGGUACGCCCCAAAAACCCCCAAAAUCACCCCAAAAUCCACGUGGGGACCCCAAAAUCCACCUGGGGACCCCAAAAUCCACCCCAAAACUCGCCUGGGGACCCCAAAACUCACCUGGGGACCCCAAAGUCCCCCUGGACACCCCCAAAAUCCCCCCUGGAUGCCCAAAAUCCACCGGGGAGCCCCAAAAACUCCUCCAGGACCCCCCCCCGAAUUUGGGGUUCAGGGUUGGGGGUCCCGGGGGUCUCACACCCCUCCCCCCACCACAGCCGGACGCCCCUCGGGCUCGGACAACGUCCUGCAGGCCUUCAAGAGAUCGUGAGUGUGGAGACCCCUCCCCAAAAUCCCACCAGGGACCCCCAAAAUCCCACCUGGGACCCCCAAAAUCCUGCCUGGGACCCCAAAAACCUCCUCAAAAUCCCACUGGGGACCCCAAAAUCCCACCUGGGACCCCCAAAAUCCUGCCUGGGACCCCAAAAACCUCCUCAAAAUCCCACCUGGGACCCCAAAA
This 2212-nucleotide long non-coding RNA is filed under the name Cyanistes caeruleus (blue tit). Its description in RNAcentral is "lncRNA (ENSCCEG00000000237.1)". The record is from RNAcentral. Lineage: Eukaryota; Metazoa; Chordata; Aves; Passeriformes; Paridae.